RNAcentral lists this ribosomal RNA (343 nucleotides) under Bacillus cereus. Its description in RNAcentral is "bacterial SSU rRNA". It matches the Rfam family "Bacterial small subunit ribosomal RNA", at positions 1128 to 1474 of the family's 1533-position model. The record is from RNAcentral. Lineage: Bacteria; Bacillati; Bacillota; Bacilli; Caryophanales; Bacillaceae.
UAGUUGGGCACUUUAAGGUGACUGCCGGUGACAAACCGGAGGAAGGGGGGGGUGACGUCAAAUCCUCCUGCCCCUUAUGACCUGGGGUACCCACGUGGUUCAAUGGGCGGUACAAAGAGGUGCAAGACCGCGAGGUGUGGGUAAUUUUAUAAAACCGUUUUCCUUUCGGAUUGGUGGGUGCAAAUUGCCUAACAGUAGGUGGAAUUGGUUGUAAUUGCGGAUCAGCAUGCCGCGGUGAAUACGUUCCCGGGCCUUGUACACACCGCCCGUCACCCCCCGAGAGUUUGUAACACCCGAAGUCGGUGGGGUAACCUUUUGGAGCCAGCCGCUAAGGGACAGAUUU